Molecule: ribosomal RNA, 378 nt
Filed under: uncultured bacterium
Lineage: Bacteria
Description: bacterial SSU rRNA
Rfam family: Bacterial small subunit ribosomal RNA
Source: RNAcentral
UCAUACGUAGGAUCCAAGCGUUAUCCGGAAUAACUGGGCGUAAAGCGUUGCGUAGGCGGUACAGUAAGCGGAGUGUGAAAUCGUGUGGCUCAACCAUACGGCUAUGCUCUGAACUGCUGAACUUGAGAAUGAGAGAGGUUACUGGAAUUCCCUGUGUAGGAGUGAAAUCCGUAGAUAUAGGGAGGAACACCGAUGGCGUAGGCAGGUAACUGGCUCAUUUCUGACGCUCAGGCACGAAAGCGUGGGGAGCAAACGGGAUUAGAUACCCCGGUAGUCCACGCCGUAAACUAUGGAUGCUAGCUGUUAGAAGUAUCGACCCUUCUAGUAGCGAAGCUAACGCGUUAAGCAUCCCGCCUGGGGAGUACGGUCGCAAGAUUA